RNAcentral lists this ribosomal RNA (2893 nucleotides) under Escherichia coli. Its description in RNAcentral is "bacterial LSU rRNA". It matches the Rfam family "Bacterial large subunit ribosomal RNA". Lineage: Bacteria; Pseudomonadati; Pseudomonadota; Gammaproteobacteria; Enterobacterales; Enterobacteriaceae. The record is from RNAcentral.
ACUAAGCGUACACGGUGGAUGCCCUGGCAGUCAGAGGCGAUGAAGGACGUGCUAAUCUGCGAUAAGCGUCGGUAAGGUGAUAUGAACCGUUAUAACCGGCGAUUUCCGAAUGGGGAAACCCAGUGUGAUUCGUCACACUAUCAUUAACUGAAUCCAUAGGUUAAUGAGGCGAACCGGGGGAACUGAAACAUCUAAGUACCCCGAGGAAAAGAAAUCAACCGAGAUUCCCCCAGUAGCGGCGAGCGAACGGGGAGCAGCCCAGAGCCUGAAUCAGUGUGUGUGUUAGUGGAAGCGUCUGGAAAGGCGCGCGAUACAGGGUGACAGCCCCGUACACAAAAAUGCACAUGCUGUGAGCUCGAUGAGUAGGGCGGGACACGUGGUAUCCUGUCUGAAUAUGGGGGGACCAUCCUCCAAGGCUAAAUACUCCUGACUGACCGAUAGUGAACCAGUACCGUGAGGGAAAGGCGAAAAGAACCCCGGCGAGGGGAGUGAAAAAGAACCUGAAACCGUGUACGUACAAGCAGUGGGAGCACGCUUAGGCGUGUGACUGCGUACCUUUUGUAUAAUGGGUCAGCGACUUAUAUUCUGUAGCAAGGUUAACCGAAUAGGGGAGCCGAAGGGAAACCGAGUCUUAACUGGGCGUUAAGUUGCAGGGUAUAGACCCGAAACCCGGUGAUCUAGCCAUGGGCAGGUUGAAGGUUGGGUAACACUAACUGGAGGACCGAACCGACUAAUGUUGAAAAAUUAGCGGAUGACUUGUGGCUGGGGGUGAAAGGCCAAUCAAACCGGGAGAUAGCUGGUUCUCCCCGAAAGCUAUUUAGGUAGCGCCUCGUGAAUUCAUCUCCGGGGGUAGAGCACUGUUUCGGCAAGGGGGUCAUCCCGACUUACCAACCCGAUGCAAACUACGAAUACCGGAGAAUGUUAUCACGGGAGACACACGGCGGGUGCUAACGUCCGUCGUGAAGAGGGAAACAACCCAGACCGCCAGCUAAGGUCCCAAAGUCAUGGUUAAGUGGGAAACGAUGUGGGAAGGCCCAGACAGCCAGGAUGUUGGCUUAGAAGCAGCCAUCAUUUAAAGAAAGCGUAAUAGCUCACUGGUCGAGUCGGCCUGCGCGGAAGAUGUAACGGGGCUAAACCAUGCACCGAAGCUGCGGCAGCGACGCUGAUGCGUUGUUGGGUAGGGGAGCGUUCUGUAAGCCUGCGAAGGUGUGCUGUGAGGCAUGCUGGAGGUAUCAGAAGUGCGAAUGCUGACAUAAGUAACGAUAAAGCGGGUGAAAAGCCCGCUCGCCGGAAGACCAAGGGUUCCUGUCCAACGUUAAUCGGGGCAGGGUGAGUCGACCCCUAAGGCGAGGCCGAAAGGCGUAGUCGAUGGGAAACAGGUUAAUAUUCCUGUACUUGGUGUUACUGCGAAGGGGGGACGGAGAAGGCUAUGUUGGCCGGGCGACGGUUGUCCCGGUUUAAGCGUGUAGGCUGGUUUUCCAGGCAAAUCCGGAAAAUCAAGGCUGAGGCGUGAUGACGAGGCACUACGGUGCUGAAGCAACAAAUGCCCUGCUUCCAGGAAAAGCCUCUAAGCAUCAGGUAACAUCAAAUCGUACCCCAAACCGACACAGGUGGUCAGGUAGAGAAUACCAAGGCGCUUGAGAGAACUCGGGUGAAGGAACUAGGCAAAAUGGUGCCGUAACUUCGGGAGAAGGCACGCUGAUAUGUAGGUGAAGCGACUUGCUCGUGGAGCUGAAAUCAGUCGAAGAUACCAGCUGGCUGCAACUGUUUAUUAAAAACACAGCACUGUGCAAACACGAAAGUGGACGUAUACGGUGUGACGCCUGCCCGGUGCCGGAAGGUUAAUUGAUGGGGUUAGCGCAAGCGAAGCUCUUGAUCGAAGCCCCGGUAAACGGCGGCCGUAACUAUAACGGUCCUAAGGUAGCGAAAUUCCUUGUCGGGUAAGUUCCGACCUGCACGAAUGGCGUAAUGAUGGCCAGGCUGUCUCCACCCGAGACUCAGUGAAAUUGAACUCGCUGUGAAGAUGCAGUGUACCCGCGGCAAGACGGAAAGACCCCGUGAACCUUUACUAUAGCUUGACACUGAACAUUGAGCCUUGAUGUGUAGGAUAGGUGGGAGGCUUUGAAGUGUGGACGCCAGUCUGCAUGGAGCCGACCUUGAAAUACCACCCUUUAAUGUUUGAUGUUCUAACGUGGACCCGUAAUCCGGGUUGCGGACAGUGUCUGGUGGGUAGUUUGACUGGGGCGGUCUCCUCCUAAAGAGUAACGGAGGAGCACGAAGGUUGGCUAAUCCUGGUCGGACAUCAGGAGGUUAGUGCAAUGGCAUAAGCCAGCUUGACUGCGAGCGUGACGGCGCGAGCAGGUGCGAAAGCAGGUCAUAGUGAUCCGGUGGUUCUGAAUGGAAGGGCCAUCGCUCAACGGAUAAAAGGUACUCCGGGGAUAACAGGCUGAUACCGCCCAAGAGUUCAUAUCGACGGCGGUGUUUGGCACCUCGAUGUCGGCUCAUCACAUCCUGGGGCUGAAGUAGGUCCCAAGGGUAUGGCUGUUCGCCAUUUAAAGUGGUACGCGAGCUGGGUUUAGAACGUCGUGAGACAGUUCGGUCCCUAUCUGCCGUGGGCGCUGGAGAACUGAGGGGGGCUGCUCCUAGUACGAGAGGACCGGAGUGGACGCAUCACUGGUGUUCGGGUUGUCAUGCCAAUGGCACUGCCCGGUAGCUAAAUGCGGAAGAGAUAAGUGCUGAAAGCAUCUAAGCACGAAACUUGCCCCGAGAUGAGUUCUCCCUGACUCCUUGAGAGUCCUGAAGGAACGUUGAAGACGACGACGUUGAUAGGCCGGGUGUGUAAGCGCAGCGAUGCGUUGAGCUAACCGGUACUAAUGAACCGUGAGGCUUAACC